GUUAGACCCAAUUGAUGAGCCCAAGGGACGAGGACGGAGCGGUCAACUGACUGAUAGUAGAAGAGCAGUCGUUCAUUCACUUGCUACCCGCUGAUUGCCGUUAGCAUGACAAUCUAACACGGUAAUCCAGAAGUUCAACAUAAAGGUCUCUUGCUGGUCAUCUUCUGUCAAUGAGGACUUGUACCACAACGGCUAAUUUAUCACACCACAGAUCGAAUGAGGAAUAACCUAAUUAGAAAACAAUCGCAGAAAUGGAAUAAAAGUUGGGCGAUGCUUGGGGAGAAAAAAAGUAGUUGAUAAAGGUUCGCUGAGUGUUGGGGCAGACAAAACCCAAAAGAAUUCAAAAUUGAGGAUUAAAAAAGAAAAAAGAACAGAACAACGGACAUAACAGAUAACAGGUAACGAUUGGCUGUCGGCCGUCGGGCAUCCGGCGUUCUAGUGUUGUAGAGGGGUGGGCCGUGGUUGACACGCACGUCCGAUGGAUGACGGCUAAAUACCUGGUAGUUGACAGUUGACAGACAACAGUCGACGAUUGACACAACAGUCGACGAUUGACAAUUGGAUGGUUAUAAGGGUGCAAGAAUGGUUGUGUUGAUAGGGCGGCUGGUGCAUCUUACAUAGCUUAGUGUUUAACGUCUAGCCUACUACAUGAAAGAAAAGGCUGAAAGGGGGUUGCAAAAAAAGAUUAAGGGCGGCAGUUGUUGAAGUAUGCUAGAAGGCGACGCUCGGCUGGGCGCAGUCGUACUGGUGAAGUCUUGUAUUUUUGAAUCCAAGUCGAUCCGCAGUGUAUCUUCCACUUAUGGUCAACUUCACAGCAUAGAGGUAACAUCAUCUGGGUUUUGCGCGUUAAUUCCGCUUUUACGCCAUUUAUUGUUUUACGAUAGCUGAAACCUUAC
RNAcentral lists this small RNA (896 nucleotides) under Cryptococcus neoformans H99. RNAcentral's name for it is "Cryptococcus neoformans var. grubii H99 hypothetical RNA". The record is from RNAcentral. Lineage: Eukaryota; Fungi; Basidiomycota; Tremellomycetes; Tremellales; Cryptococcaceae.